GUCUUUUUGUAUUAAAUAUAAAGUCUAACCUGCCCACUGAAUUUUAAAUGGCCGCAGUACACUAACUGUGCAAAGGUAGCAUAAUAAUUAGUCUUUUAAUUGAAGGCUGGAAUGAAUGGUUGGACGAAAUAUUAACUGUUUCAUUAGAAUUUUUAUUAAAACUUUAUUUUUUAGUCAAAAAGCUAAAAUAUAAUUAAAAGACGAGAAGACCCUAUAAAGCUUUAUAUAUUUUUAUAAACUAUUUCAUAAGAUUCUUUAAGGUAUUUUAUAAAAAUAUAUUUUAUUGGGGUGAUAUUAAAAUAUGAUAAACUUUUAAUUUUUAAACCAUUAAUUUAUGAUUUUAUGAUCCGUCAAUGACGAUUAGAAAUUCAAGUUACUUUAGGGAUAACAGCGUAAUUUUUUUGGAGAGUUCAUAUCGAUAAAAAAGAUUGCGACCUCGAUGUUGGAUUAAGGAAUAAUCUUAGGCGCAGCAGUUUAAGUAAUAAGUCUGUUCGACUUUUAAACCCUU
This 508-nucleotide ribosomal RNA is filed under the name Elgiva connexa. RNAcentral's name for it is "partial 16S ribosomal RNA". It matches the Rfam family "Bacterial large subunit ribosomal RNA", at positions 1825 to 2597 of the family's 2925-position model. Lineage: Eukaryota; Metazoa; Arthropoda; Insecta; Diptera; Sciomyzidae. The record is from RNAcentral.